Molecule: ribosomal RNA, 472 nt
Filed under: uncultured bacterium
Lineage: Bacteria
Description: bacterial SSU rRNA
Rfam family: Bacterial small subunit ribosomal RNA
Source: RNAcentral
UGGGGAAUUUUGGACAAUGGGCGAAAGCCUGAUCCAGCCAUGCCGCGUGAGUGAAGAAGGCCUUCGGGUUGUAAAGCUCUUUCAGGUGGAAAGAAAAGGUUACGGAUAAUACCUGUGACUGAUGACGGUACCAUCAGAAGAAGCACCGGCUAACUACGUGCCAGCAGCCGCGGUAAUACGUAGGGUGCGAGCGUUAAUCGGAAUUACUGGGCGUAAAGCGUGCGCAGGCGGUUUUGUAAGACAGACGUGAAAGCCCCGGGCUUAACCUGGGAACGGCGUUUGUGACUGCAAGACUAGAGUAUGGCAGAGGGGGGUAGAAUUCCACGUGUAGCAGUGAAAUGCGUAGAGAUGUGGAGGAAUACCGAUGGCGAAGGCAGCCCCCUGGGUCAAUACUGACGCUCAUGCACGAAAGCGUGGGGAGCAAACAGGAUUAGAUACCCUCGUAGUCCCUGAGCGGGCUGGCAAGGCGCAU